UGCAUCUGAGGCCAGUGAGGAUGAGAACCUCCGGGGGCAGGAGGUUCGACUCGAGCGAAGCGAGAGAACGUUGCCGCUGGCAAUGGCCCGAAGGCGAGGCGCUUUAGCGCGAGUAAUCUUCCCCCACCACUG
This 132-nucleotide small RNA is filed under the name Klebsiella pneumoniae. RNAcentral's name for it is "RtT sRNA". It matches the Rfam family "RtT RNA". From Rfam's summary of the family: This family represents a bacterial cis-regulatory element known as RtT RNA. The exact function of RtT is unknown although it is thought that it may be involved in changing the cellular response in relation to amino acid starvation. The record is from RNAcentral. Lineage: Bacteria; Pseudomonadati; Pseudomonadota; Gammaproteobacteria; Enterobacterales; Enterobacteriaceae.